ACACCUCCCAAACAAACGCCCCAACCAAACGCCUCUCCUGCCCUUCACCCUUUCUAUAAAAGCAUCUCUUCGUCUCCGUCCCUUCUAUUCAUGAACAGCAGGAGAGAGUAGCCUAGUCCGGCCUCUCCUCGCAGAUUCCCCUUCCUCGGGCUCUCCUGCCGAUUUCGUGCAUGUUUUCUGCGUCUUUGCUCUUUGGUCCGGGGUCGGAUGGUUGGAUUGGAAGCGGAGCUCCUAUCUUUCCAAUGAAGGGUCCGUUCGCUGGGUUGGUACAGCUGCUCGUUCAUGGUUCCCACUAUCCUAUCUCAUCACCUGAGGUUUAUCCGAGACAAAGAGUGAGAUGAGCGGCCUGGUGUUUGGCUUGAGAUAGGCUUUGUGGCUUGCAUGACCGAGGAGCUGCAACGUCCCCACGCUGGCCGCUCUUUGGAUUGAAGGGAGCUCUGCGUCUUGAUCCCAUCAGCCCCCCUGCUUCGGUUUGUGCGCCCUACUAAUGAUGACCGCUACAUAGGAUUGCAUGCUUAACCAGCGCUCCUUCUGCUCGAUUUAUUUGCUAAUCCGUGUGUUCCAUGCGUAGAUCUGGAAUUAGUAGCCAUGCAGACCUGUUCUAUUCUUACAAUCUUUUUUUCUUAUCGUCUACUAAGCUUGCUUGGCCAACUCACCUUCAUUUGUUUAUUCUGCAUAUUAUCUCUUCUCCUGAAUCAAACAGCUCGCCUGGGCUUAUCCGUGCUGCUGGAGGCUACUAGCAGGUAAGCAGGUGCUUUGACGUCGCUUUAUUCCUUUGCUGGUGAGAUGUUACGUCAUCCCUUGUUUACUGGUGCGUAUUUGUGGUAGGGCUCAUGGAUCUUGCUCGCCACAUCUUUGUCUCCCCGUCCCACUUCUAGGCUGCUUGUUGGGGUUGGCCUUUUUUUUUUCUUUUUCCUCCCUGUCUCUUUUCAUUCCCUUCUGACAGAUUCGCAUCAGGUGCUCGAUCGGAUCUGAGCUCAGCUAGCGUCCAUGUGGUGCCCAAGACAACCUCUCGUUUUCUGCUUUGCCUUGUCGACGUCGCUGGGGUUUGCAGCUCAAUCUAGGCUAAUCCUCUACUGGGCUGCUUGCGGUGAACAGGUUGCUGCUGCUGGAGGUCGAAGCCAUUUCUGCGACGGCGACGCCCAAAUGCCCAAAAUUUCUGCUUCAAGAUCGGCGCUCAUUUGAACUCCACGUGCCAUUUCUGUAUUCAUUUUAAAUCGGAUCGUUUGGAUGUGCCGGACUACAUGGUUUCGGCAUGAUGUGGGUGCGACGAUUCGGUGUAACAGUUGGUCCUUAACAGAACCACUCCGUACUGAUAAUUGGCUGUGCCGUUUACUGUAUGUUUUGCAUGAUG
Molecule: long non-coding RNA, 1354 nt
Organism: Panicum hallii
Lineage: Eukaryota; Viridiplantae; Streptophyta; Magnoliopsida; Poales; Poaceae
Exons: 2
Source: RefSeq, a predicted model, not a curated record